GACGAACGCUGGCGGCGUGCCUAAUACAUGCAAGUCGAACGAACCGCGACUGAGUGCUUGCACUUGGUCAAGGUGAGUGGCGAACGGGUGAGUAACACGUGGGUAGCCUACCUCAUAGUGGGGGAUAACAGUCGGAAACGACUGCUAAUACCGCAUAGGACAUAGGAUCACAUGAUCCAGUGAGGACAGUUGGCGCAAGCUAUCGCUAAGAGAUGGACCCGCGGUGCAUUAGCUAGUUGGUAGGGUAAAGGCCUACCAAGGCGAUGAUGCAUAGCCGACCUGAGAGGGUGAUCGGCCACAUUGGGACUGAGACACGGCCCAAACUCCUACGGGAGGCAGCAGUAGGGAAUCUUCCGCAAUGGGCGCAAGUCUGACGGAGCAACGCCGCGUGAGUGAAGAAGGUCUUCGGAUCGUAAAGCUCUGUUGUUAGAGAAGAACAGCGCAGAGAGUAACUGCUAUGCGUGUGACGGUACCUAACCAGAAAGCCACGGCUAACUACGUG
This 502-nucleotide ribosomal RNA is filed under the name uncultured bacterium. Its description in RNAcentral is "partial 16S ribosomal RNA". It matches the Rfam family "Bacterial small subunit ribosomal RNA", at positions 28 to 507 of the family's 1533-position model. The record is from RNAcentral.